UACGUAGGGCGCAAGCGUUAUCCGGAAUUAUUGGGCGUAAAGAGCUUGUAGGCGGUUUGUCGCGUCUGCUGUGAAAUUUCGGGGCUCAACCCCGAACUUGCAGUGGGUACGGGCAGACUAGAGUGUGGUAGGGGAGACUGGAAUUCCUGGUGUAGCGGUGAAAUGCGCAGAUAUCAGGAGGAACACCGAUGGCGAAGGCAGGUCUCUGGGCCACUACUGACGCUGAGAAGCGAAAGCAUGGGGGAGCGAACAGG
This 254-nucleotide ribosomal RNA is filed under the name uncultured bacterium. RNAcentral describes it as "partial 16S ribosomal RNA". It matches the Rfam family "Bacterial small subunit ribosomal RNA", at positions 524 to 776 of the family's 1533-position model. The record is from RNAcentral.